This is a long non-coding RNA of Macadamia integrifolia, 677 nucleotides long. RefSeq lists it as uncharacterized. Lineage: Eukaryota; Viridiplantae; Streptophyta; Magnoliopsida; Proteales; Proteaceae. The record is from RefSeq and is a predicted model, not a curated record. The transcript is spliced from 5 exons.
UCAUUCCCGCUCUUUAUUUUCCCACUCCCACACGAACUCCUCCAUCUUCUCCCACUCUCAUCUCAAUCUCUUCAAACCUUAAAAACCAUUACUUGACCUCUCAAUCUCUCGCUCAAGCUCUCUCCAGCGACCUAAAACGUUGAAGAAGAAACCAUUGUGCGGUUAGGUAUGAUUCUCUCUCUCUCUCUCUCAUGCUGAUUGCAGAAUUGUUUGAUGCUUUCGUUUCUCGAAGGCUGGUUACAUUAGAUUCCACACCAUCUCGGCAAUCUUAUGUUGGCGAUUUCUGAUAUCUUCACAAUAUAUGUUUGAGGAUUGUCUUAUUAUUUUAAAUCUGGCCAUCUGAUUUACUCCAAAUUUUGGGUGUUGAUUGAUCUUACUGAGAGCUAAACUCGAUCCAAGUUUUACUUGGGAGUUCUUGGUGGUUCACCUUAAGCUGCUCCAGGUAAACAAAGGAUUGUGCUUGCAGUCUGUACCUAUUUGCAGGCCUUGGAUCGGAGAUCGAAAGUACAACUGGGUUUUGACUCGCAGCUACGCAUUACCGAGUGGGUAGAGAUGACCCCACAUGUUUAUGCAUUGCAUGCCUAUCUAACUGGAGGGGAUUCAUACUUUUCGAUUUCAGACGUGAUGUGCACGUGCCCCGAAGCCAGAAUUGAUUUGAUCGAUUGGUGGCCAUACUU